ACUCCUACGGGAGGCAGCAGUGGGGAAUAUUGGACAAUGGGGGGAACCCUGAUCCAGCGAUGCCGCGUGUGUGAAGAAGGCCUGCGGGUUGUAAAGCACUUUUGUGACUGAGGAAGGGUGUUAGGUUAAGAGCUAAGCACUUUGACGUUAGGUCAAGAAUAAGCACCGGCUAACUCCGUGCCAGCAGCCGCGGUAAUACGGAGGGUGCGAGCGUUAAUCGGAAUAACUGGGCGUAAAGGGCACGUAGGCGGUUUUAUAAGUUAGAUGUGAAAGGCUAGGGCUUAACCCUGGUAAGCAUUUAAUACUGUGAGACUAGAGUGCAUUAGAGAGGAGUAGAAUUCCUGGUGUAGCGGUGAAAUGCGUAGAUAUCAGGAGGAAUACCGAUGGCGAAGGCAGCUCCUUGGGAUGACACUGACGCUGAGGUGCGAAAGCGUGGGUAGCGAACAGGAUUAGAUACCCUGGUAGGUCAGU
RNAcentral lists this ribosomal RNA (471 nucleotides) under uncultured bacterium. RNAcentral describes it as "bacterial SSU rRNA". It matches the Rfam family "Bacterial small subunit ribosomal RNA", at positions 335 to 798 of the family's 1533-position model. The record is from RNAcentral.